UACGAAGGGGGCUAGCGUUGUUCGGAAUUACUGGGCGUAAAGCGCGCGCAGGCGGUUCUUCAAGUCAGUGGUGAAAGCCCGGAGCUCAACUCCGGAACUGCCAUUGAAACUGUAGAGCUUGAGGAUGAGAGAGGUGAGUGGAAUUCCCAGUGUAGAGGUGAAAUUCGUAGAUAUUGGGAAGAACACCGGUGGCGAAGGCGGCUCACUGGCUCAUUUCUGACGCUCAGGCGCGACAGCGUGGGGAUCAAACAGG
This 253-nucleotide ribosomal RNA is filed under the name uncultured bacterium. Its description in RNAcentral is "partial 16S ribosomal RNA". It matches the Rfam family "Bacterial small subunit ribosomal RNA", at positions 524 to 776 of the family's 1533-position model. The record is from RNAcentral.